ACUCAAACCAGCUAUAUUAAGGAAGGUGCAAGCUUUUGAGAUUUCUGUUUAGAUUUAGUUUAGGUUCAAAAUAGCACGCACAGAUCCUGAGUGUUGUCAAACACUUGCGACUGGGGAACGGAGGCGUCCGAUCCGUAUUGGAGUCAAUUCGCCACUUAAUUGAACACAGCCUUGAAGGGAAGGGCCAUAUUUGUGGACCUGUCCAACAAUGAGACCACAUGGAAUGGGGGAUGAAAGGGUUAAAGGAAGAACAAAUAUUAAAAACAGCUUUUCUAUGAACAAACUACAGACAGCUGCGGCUUUGCAAGGGGAACUUCUUGGCUGCCAUUUCCGGAUUCCAAGGCCACAGAAACAGUGUUCAGGACCCUGGAUAGAGAGAGAGGCUUCAGAAUGUGGCUCCUUUCAGAAAUGCUUCUCCAGAGGUUGGUGAGGUCAGCUGACUGGAAGACAGAUCUAUUUGAAGAUUUCUGUGGUGGUCUUUACUACUCCAGAGAUUUACAGCUGAUGAAAAAUGGAGAAGUACAUGACCCUACCCUCCUGUUGGACAUGGUACCCAAAGAUUCACAUCUGUCAACUUGUCAGCGUCACUAUAGUUUAUUUAAUAAAUGUGUAGCACUGCUUCAAUAUACCUGGAAUCAUAAAAUGUUAGAGAACAAACCUUAAAAUACAU
RNAcentral lists this long non-coding RNA (670 nucleotides) under Mus pahari (shrew mouse). RNAcentral describes it as "lncRNA (MGP_PahariEiJ_G0005489.1)". The record is from RNAcentral. Lineage: Eukaryota; Metazoa; Chordata; Mammalia; Rodentia; Muridae.